Molecule: ribosomal RNA, 249 nt
Filed under: Klebsiella pneumoniae
Lineage: Bacteria; Pseudomonadati; Pseudomonadota; Gammaproteobacteria; Enterobacterales; Enterobacteriaceae
Also listed under: 2 other names
Description: partial 23S ribosomal RNA
Rfam family: Bacterial large subunit ribosomal RNA
Source: RNAcentral
AUUCCCCCAGUAGCGGCGAGCGAACGGGGAGCAGCCCAGAGUCUGAAUCAGCUUGUGUGUUAGUGGAACGGUCUGGAAAGUCCGACGGUACAGGGUGAUAGUCCCGUACACCAAAAUGCACAGGCUGUGAACUCGAAGAGUAGGGCGGGACACGUGGUAUCCUGUCUGAAUAUGGGGGGACCAUCCUCCAAGGCUAAAUACUCCUGACUGACCGAUAGUGAACCAGUACCGUGAGGGAAAGGCGAAAAG